This 56-nucleotide transfer RNA is filed under the name Demodex brevis. RNAcentral's name for it is "tRNA-Pro". Lineage: Eukaryota; Metazoa; Arthropoda; Arachnida; Trombidiformes; Demodicidae. The record is from RNAcentral.
AGCAGAAUGAAGUCUUUGGACAUUUACUUUGGGAGUAAAAGGAUUAGCUUCUGAAA